This 256-nucleotide unclassified non-coding RNA is filed under the name plant metagenome. RNAcentral's name for it is "partial contains small subunit ribosomal RNA, internal transcribed spacer 1, and 5.8S ribosomal RNA". The stretch from base 1 to 54 matches the Rfam family "Eukaryotic small subunit ribosomal RNA", at positions 1778 to 1831 of the family's 1831-position model. The record is from RNAcentral.
GGAAGUAAAAGUCGUAACAAGGUUUCCGUAGGUGAACCUGCGGAAGGAUCAUUAAAGUUAUAGUCCCCCGGCCCUCUGGGCUGGGGUCUUCUAUACCACCCUUUGUUUAUUACACCUUUGUUGCUUUGGCAGGCCUGCCCUCGGGCUGCUGGCUCCGGCCGGCUCGCGUCUGCCAGAGGACCUAAACUCUGUUUGUAUAUGAAGUCUGAGUACUAUAUAAUAGUUAAAACUUUCAACAACGGAUCUCUUGGUUCUG